Oreochromis niloticus (Nile tilapia) is the source of this 1121-nucleotide long non-coding RNA. RefSeq lists it as uncharacterized. Lineage: Eukaryota; Metazoa; Chordata; Actinopteri; Cichliformes; Cichlidae. The record is from RefSeq and is a predicted model, not a curated record. The transcript has 3 exons.
CACAAAGCUGUGGAAGGUUCAACGCUUGUCUAACGCGAUCUUCAGCACUUUAUCGGUAUAAUGAAGGUAAUUUAACUCAGAAGGUCUAACUAUAGUGGCAGGAUCACGUUGAAUGAGUACCUGGAGAUAAACUCGGCUUAACUUUGGACCUUUUUGUUUUGUAAUGGUUGUUCUGGACGUCGAUGAGCGCGGUGGGAAGUUUCCUCCGUCUCCGGAUUAUUCGACGAUAAAAUGUUUGUUUUCGUGUUUAAUCGGUCACAAAGGAGCUGUGUGUGUUUAUCAAAGCAGCUACAAACUGUUUGGAUUGAACAUAGAGCGGAGACAGAGGGGGAAGAGGAAUAACGAGCUUGUGUUUGAGAUCUGGUUACGACUACAGGAAAUCUAAAAAUAUGGUGCGGGUGGACUUUCUGUCUGCACCGCGGGUAGUUGACCAGACUUAACCGACAUCAUAUUAAUUUUAUUAAAUCCAUCACAAUGAUUUAUUUUAGAGGCUCUACAACACUCUGGAGAAAAUCUUAUAAACCAUCGAGCUCGCUAUGGAUUAUCAGGCGGACCAGCAGCGAGAGACGGCAGAGAGAGCUGAAACAGAAGCGGACAUGUCGAUCUGCUGUGCGGCCAGACUAAACCUCCACCUCCUGGUGUUUUCCUCACAAACGCCACAUCCAUCACAAUGACUUCAAAGAUUUGGAUCUCCUGAUCGCUGAUCGGACAACUUCAUCCAGAAAUGCAGUGUGAACAUAUAAAGAGAAAACAGGUGAACACGGGAAACACCAGGACUCUGAAAAGCUGGUGCUCAGAGGAAGAGGUCAGACUUGGAGUGGCAGUAAUGAAAAAAAGCUCAAAUGAGUGAGAAGGACGAUGAAGGAAACAUCUGUGCUGUGUCUGCUCUAGUUUCUACCAGAGCCAAAUGUCAUCGACUCCUCACUGAAGUCGUCCACCAGUCCAACCACUGGAAUCCAGCUGCUGCUCUCUAACUGGUCCACACAGCAGCUCAGACCUGACACAUUCACUGUAAACACACUGGUUUAUAUUCUGUUUGUUCUCCUCAUGAAGGAAACCUCAGAAGAUGUGAAAUGUGAGUGUGUGUCUGCGCCUCACUGGUUGUUUCUGUCUGAUGGAAA